GUAAGUGUGUAAGGGCGUUCGGUGGAUGCCUUGGUACCAGGAGCCGAUGAAGGACGUGGGAGGCUGCGAUAAGCCACGGGGAAGUGCCGACCAACUGUCGAUCCGUGGAUGUCCGAAUGGGGAAACCCAGCACCCGUAAUGGGGUGUUACUCCGACCUGAACGCAUAGGGUCGGUAGAGGGAACUGCGUGAACUGAAACAUCUCAGUAACGCGAGGAACGUAAAGCAAAAGCGACUCCCUGAGUAGCGGCGAGCGAAAUGGGAUCAGCCUAAACCGUACUGGUGUUAAAGCCCGAUGGCGUUGCCAGUGUGGGGUUGUGGGAACCAACCGAGGGAACAUCGGACCCUCAAGGAGUUACAAAACUGAUGACUAGUGGAAGCGUCCUGUGAACGGCGCGCCGUAGAGGGUAAGAGCCCCGUACACGAAAGUUAUCAGUCUCCUGUUGUGUCUCCCGAGUAACGCCGGAUCCGGGAAAGCCGGCGUGAAUCAGCGAGGACCACCUCGUAAGGCUAAGUACAUGCAGACGACCGAUAGUGAACUAGUACCGUGAGGGAAAGGUGAAAAGUACCCCGGGAGGGGAGUGAAAUAGUACCUGAAACCGUUGGUCUACAAACAGUCAAAGCAGACUUGUUCUGCGAUGGCGUGCCUUUUGAAGAAUGAGCCAACGAGUUACGGUGUGUGGCAAGGUUAACCCGAUGAGGGGAAGCCGGAGCGAAAGCGAGUCUGAACAGGGCGUUCAGUCGCAUGCCGUAGACCCGAAGCCGAGUGAGCUAUCCAUGGGCAGUGUGAAGCGGAGGUAAGACUCUGUGGAGGCGCGAACCGACUUCAGUUGAAAAUGGAGCGGAUGACCUGUGGAUAGGGGUGAAAGGCCAAUCAAACUCGGUGAUAGCUGGUUCUCCGCGAAAUGCAUUUAGGUGCAGCGUCGUGCGUUCAACGAUGGGGGUAGAGCACUGAAUGGGCUAGGGGUCCUACAAGACUACCGACCCCAAUCAAACUCCGAAUACCAUCGUUCCAGAGCACGGCAGUGAGACCUCGGGGGAUGAGCUUCGAGGUCGAGAGGGAAACAGCCCAGACCGCCGGCUAAGGUCCCAAAAUCUGAACUAAGUGGUAAACGAUGUGAGAUUGCGAAGACAGCCAGGAGGUUGGCUUAGAAGCAGCCAUCCUUGAAAGAGUGCGUAACAGCUCACUGGUCGAGUGAUCUUGCGCGGACAAUGUAACGGGGCUCAAGUUCAGUACCGAAGCCGCGGAUGCGACUCUUUGAGUCGUGUGGUAGCGGAGCGUCGAGCGUGCAGCGAAGCGGCGGGACAACCCAGCCGUGGAGCGCGUUCGAGUGCGAAUGUUGGCAUGAGUAGCGAAUGAGGGGUGAGAACCCCCUCCGCCGUAUGUCCAAGGGUUCCUGGGCGAGGCCAAUCCUCCCAGGGUGAGUCGGGAGCUAAGGCGAGGCCGAGAGGCGUAGUCGAUGCACAACUGGUUGAUAUUCCAGUACCACCAUGUUCGCGACCGUUCCAAUACUUUGUUGCUAAGGGGCUGUGUUGACUUCGGUUAACACGAACCGACCCACAUUGUUGCGGAAAGCUAUAGGGGGACGCAGGAAGGUAGAUGAACCCGGUGAAUGGUAGAACCGGGGUAAGCGUGUAGGAGGAGGACCAGGUAAAUCCGGGCCUCAUAAACUCUGAGACGUGAUACCGAGCCGCUUCAGGCGAAGUCAUUGAUCCUAUGCUGCCUAGAAAAGCCCAGCAGCGAGUUGACAUGGUGCCCGUACCCCAAACCAACACAGGUGGACAGGUAGAGCAUACCAAGGCGAGUGGGAUAACUAUGGUUAAGGAACUCGGCAAAUUGCCUCCGUAACUUCGGGAGAAGGAGGACCCCAGUAGCGUGAUGAGACUUGCUCUCUGAGCGUGAAGGGGUGGCACAAAAUUGAGGGAAGCGACUGUUUACCAAAAACACAGCAGCGUGCUAAGCCGUAAGGCGCUGUAUACGCUGUGACUCCUGCCCGGUGCUGGAAGGUUACGGGGAUGGGUUAGUCCUUCGGGACGAAGCUCUGAACCUAAGCCCCAGUAAACGGCGGCCGUAACUAUAACGGUCCUAAGGUAGCGAAAUUCCUUGUCGGGUAAGUUCCGACCUGC
RNAcentral lists this ribosomal RNA (2126 nucleotides) under wastewater metagenome. RNAcentral describes it as "bacterial LSU rRNA". It matches the Rfam family "Bacterial large subunit ribosomal RNA", at positions 1 to 1991 of the family's 2925-position model. The record is from RNAcentral.